UACGGAGGGUGCAAGCGUUAUCCGGAUUCACUGGGUUUAAAGGGUGUGUAGGCGGGCUAUUAAGUCAGUGGUGAAAUCUCCGGGCUCAACCCGGAAACUGCCAUUGAUACUAUUAGUCUUGAAUUCUGUUGAGGUAGGCAGAAUAUAUCAUGUAGCGGUGAAAUGCAUAGAUAUGAUAUAGAACACCGAUUGCGAAGGCAGCUUACUAAGCAGAUAUUAACGCUGAGGCACGAAAGCGUGGGGAUCAAACAGG
This 253-nucleotide ribosomal RNA is filed under the name uncultured bacterium. RNAcentral's name for it is "partial 16S ribosomal RNA". It matches the Rfam family "Bacterial small subunit ribosomal RNA", at positions 524 to 776 of the family's 1533-position model. The record is from RNAcentral.